GUAAAUAAAUAAGAUAACCAAUUUAAAAAAAAACAGCAGGAUGGACAGCCAAGGAGGUAAGACAAUGUCAACUUCAGGACUAGACAGACACCUCUCUCUCUCUCUCUCUCUCUCUCUCUCUCUCUCUCUCUCUCUCUCUGUGUGUGUGUGUGUGUGUGUGUUUGUGUGUUUGUGUGUAUGUGUGUGUGUGUCUUUCUGUGUGUGUACAGUAUAUAUAAAUCUUAAUUCUUGACUAUUAGACUGUCCCUUUAUUUGUGAUAUAUUGUAAUCUUUUCUCACUAUAUUAUUUAUUGGGGGUGUUCCUUAUAGAAUCUUCAGACUUAGCUAUCUUUAAGGCUUUGUUUUUAAUUAUGUGUGUAUGUGUUUCUGGUUGUGGUUUAUGCACAUGAAUACAGGUCCCCAAAGAUGCCAGAGUCAUCAGAUGCCCCUGGAGCUGGAGGUCCAGGUGGGUGAGAACUAAAUGCUGGCCCUCUGCAAAUGUGGCUUCCUCAAAAGCAAUUCAAGAGCUGAAUGAAGCAGUUGGCUGUAAAUAACCAAGACCGCACUGAAAGAACAGAUUCAAUAGUAUUCUUGCGCUACCUUAUCUCUUACCCUACCCCACCUACCACCCCAUCCCACCCCACCCCAACCCACCCCAUCAUACCACACCCUACCCCACCCCAACCCUGGAGCAGAGAAUACAAAGGAAGGCAAGAUGAUGAAGGCCACCGUGAGCUACACAGCCAGUCACGGGCAGAGGUAGAGCAAAGUUUGGGCUUCUCAACACAGAACCAACCCAUGCCACCUGCUGUCCUCCUUAACCAAGACGACAGAGAAAAUACGGAACAUGCCAGAUGUCAUUCCAAACAAUGAACUCACUGACUCCAUAGGAGACAGUGUACUUCUGGGGACAGCGCUUCCCUGGUUGGCAGUUGAGAAUCUGUGUGGAUUGACAGGUGCUUUUCUAGGCAGAAAGAGUGACACAGACCUGCCCUAGGAUAACGGCCUCUGAGACAGCAGUUAGCUACGGAAACUCAGGACUCAUGGAAUCAUGAUGUAAUGAGAUGAAAUUCUACAGCCAACAGCCUGAGGCCAGGGUGGUUCAUCACCUGCUUAGGAUGAUGAACCCUACACCACAUGAAUAAAUGGUCAGUUAUAAAUGGCUCUCUUCCUUAA
Long non-coding RNA from Rattus norvegicus (Norway rat), 1155 nucleotides. RefSeq lists it as uncharacterized. Lineage: Eukaryota; Metazoa; Chordata; Mammalia; Rodentia; Muridae. The record is from RefSeq and is a predicted model, not a curated record.